RNAcentral lists this ribosomal RNA (512 nucleotides) under uncultured bacterium. Its description in RNAcentral is "bacterial SSU rRNA". It matches the Rfam family "Bacterial small subunit ribosomal RNA", at positions 15 to 518 of the family's 1533-position model. The record is from RNAcentral.
GAUUAUGGCUCAGGAUGAACGCUAGCGACAGGCUUAACACAUGCAAGUCGAGGGGCAGCAUAAAAGUAGCAAUACUUUGGUGGCGACCGGCGCACGGGUGAGUAACGCGUAUGCAACCUACCUAUCAGAGGGGAAUAACCCGGCGAAAGUCGGACUAAUACCGCAUAAAACAGGGGCACCGCAUGGUGAUAUUUGUUAAAGAAAUUCGCUGAUAGAUGGGCAUGCGUUCCAUUAGGUAGUUGGUGAGGUAACGGCUCACCAAGCCGACGAUGGAUAGGGGAACUGAGAGGUUGGUCCCCCACACUGGUACUGAGACACGGACCAGACUCCUACGGGAGGCAGCAGUGAGGAAUAUUGGUCAAUGGGCGAGAGCCUGAACCAGCCAAGUCGCGUGAAAGGAAGAAGGAUCUAUGGUUCGUAAACUUCUUUUGCAGGGGAAUAAAGUGCAGGACGUGUCCUGUUUUGUAUGUACCCUGAGAAUAAGGAUCGGCUAACUCCGUGCCAGCAGCGGC